GACGAACGCUGGCGGCGGGCCUAACACAUGCAAGUCGAACGGAAAGGCCCUGCUUUUGUGGGGUGCCCGAGUGGCGAACGGGUGAGUAACACGGGAGUAACCUGCCCUUGACGUUGUAAUAACUUCAGGAAACUGCGGCUAAUACCGGAUAGGUGCGCCUGCUGCAUGGUGGGGGUUGGACAGCUUCGGAGGUGAGGGGUCGACGCGCGGCUUGCCAGCUGGUUGGUUGGGUAGUGGCUUACCCAGGCAUUGAAGGGUAGCCGGCCUGGGAGGGUAACCGGGCUCAUUGGGACUGCGAUAGGGCCCAGAGUCCUACGGGGGGCAGCAGUGGGGAACAUUGCACAAUGAGCGGAAGCCUGAUGCAGAAACGCCGCGUGCGGGAUGACGGCCUUCGGGGUGUAAAGCGCUUUCGCCUGUGACGUAGCGUGUUUGACGUUAAUGGCUAAAGAAGCACCGGCUAACUACGUG
This 468-nucleotide ribosomal RNA is filed under the name uncultured bacterium. RNAcentral's name for it is "partial 16S ribosomal RNA". It matches the Rfam family "Bacterial small subunit ribosomal RNA", at positions 28 to 507 of the family's 1533-position model. The record is from RNAcentral.